Long non-coding RNA from Serinus canaria (Common canary), 1681 nucleotides. RefSeq lists it as uncharacterized. The record is from RefSeq and is a predicted model, not a curated record. The transcript is spliced from 5 exons. NCBI's taxonomy places the organism in Eukaryota, Metazoa, Chordata, Aves, Passeriformes, Fringillidae.
UGCUGCCCUGCAAGGACAGCACACCAGGCUGUGUGUCCCUGCCCACACUGAGGGGACAGUGCCCGUGCUGGGGGACAGACAGUGCCCUGCACAAAAUGCUGCAGGGUUCAGCAAAAUGGUGAUGUGGAAAGCCAGCAACAGCAUUUUGUCUUACUACCUCCUUCAUGUAUCAGCAGCAUUGAAUAAGAUCUCUUUCCUGAGGGCACGCUGCAUAAUGCAAAAAGAGCUGUGUGAAGUUUGGUGCAGAGGAUGAAAACGGGACCACUCAGCUGCUUUACAGAGAUGAGGUUCUCUUCCCCUUCCCCCUCCACACGUUUUUCACUGUAAGUGAAAAUGAAACUUGUGCUUUUCAGAGGAAAUGGCUGCUAAAGGUUAAAGGGGAGGAACAUCGUGUGGGAUCCUGGCACAACAAAUGCGUUGCUGGACUCGCAGGAACUCACCACUCGAGUGAAAUAACAGGGAAGAUAAAAACGUGAAAAACAACAAUAAAGGGAGAGCUGCCAGGUGGAGAAAUAGGAUGGUUUGUUGUUUCUAUGAAGCCAGUGGGGAAGUGCAGCAGGUUUACCAGGGGUUUGAAUUGAAUCCAUCCAAAGGAAGACUUGAUAUUCAAGGCUGCCCCUCGGCAAAGAGGAGUUUUGCAUUCAUUAAUAUUGCCUUGGGAUGAAGGAAGGAACAGGAGAGCCCUGAUUGACCUUAGACAUUUAUAAAGGUGCUGAAAGGCACAGAGAAUUACCCUCACUCCCCCAGCUUUGUGCCAGUUUGCCACCAUUGAAAAGGAAAAGCAAUGGCCACAGACUGACAAGAUGUUUCAUGUUGGAGAAUUGGAAUUUUGUCUUUCCAGCCCUCUUCCAGGGCUGGGCAGUGAAUUUCUUUAUACACAGUGCACGUAUCCUGCCAGGCAUCAGCAGUGUCUGGCUAGAACUGACCUCAAAGGAAGACAGGCACUGAUAUUUGCAAGCAGAUUUUGGACACUUGCAACACUAAGGCUUUAUCUCAAAUGUAAGAUCAAACCACUUAUAUUAUUUAUACUUUCCUCCAGCAUAUUCUCUUUGAAUAUUUUCUCACUGAAUGCACGAUGAUUUCUUCUCUUCAUAACUUUUUUGAUUACUAGUGUCAGUCUGCUGCUUUUAAGAAUGGUAGAGUUGCAAUGUCCAAACUGUUAUACACAGGGUGGUGAAUUUAUUCUUUUAAAUUAUAGCUUAGUAUAUUUAGUCAGUUUGUUUUAUAUCGAGUAUUCAUUUAAGUGGUUUUCAUUGUAUUGACAUUUUAUAAUGCCCUCCUAAUAUUCUUAUUAUUGAUUUUAAUACUGCAAUGGUAUUAUUCAUGGUGACACCUAUUGGAAAGCAAGCUUCAAUUAUAUCAAUAGAUGCUAUUAUUAUAACAUUGAUAACAUUAAUAUUUGAUAGUGGCAUAAAAUGUGAUGCAUUGGCAAUUAACUCAUUAAUGUAGAUAUCAUUAACCAAAAAUGUCAAAGUUGUUGUAAUGAUUUUUCUGUGGUUUUCUUUAACAAAUUCUCUAAUCACCGGCUCAGUUUUGCAUUUCCAAGUGUGCAUUAGCCACAAAAGUUUUUCUGAAAACUAAAUAACAUCAUCCCUUUUAAAUGAGAAAAGAUGGGCUUUUAUGGCUCAGAAGAUGCCCUGAGUCUUGAAUCAAGAGCAUUAGUAAGAGAUAGAGCAUCUGA